GGGUGUGGUGCGCACCGUACCACAGGCUUAGGGGAAGGUCGGGCCGCCUUCC
Molecule: non-coding RNA, 52 nt
Filed under: unclassified sequences
Description: Li+-I sequence
Rfam family: nhaA-I RNA
About the family: Acidobacteria, Alphaproteobacteria, Betaproteobacteria and Gammaproteobacteria, Verrucomicrobia, cand. division NC10. Downstream gene
Source: Rfam by way of RNAcentral